RNAcentral lists this ribosomal RNA (445 nucleotides) under uncultured bacterium. RNAcentral describes it as "SSU rRNA". It matches the Rfam family "Bacterial small subunit ribosomal RNA", at positions 26 to 518 of the family's 1533-position model. The record is from RNAcentral.
AGAACGAACGCUGGCGGCAGGCUUAACACAUGCAAGUCGAACGGUAUCUUCGGAUGCCGUGGCGCACGGGUGAGUAACGCGUGGGAACAUGCCCUUAGGUUGGGAAUAACGGCGGGAAACUGCCGAUAAUACCUGAUAUGACGAGAGUUGAAAGAUUUAUCGCCUAGGGAUUGGCCCGCGUUGGAUUAGCUAGUUGGUUGCGGUAAAGGCGCACCAAGGCUACGAUCCAUAGCUGGUCUGAGAGGAUGAUCAGCCACACUGGGACUGAGACACGGCCCAGACUCCUACGGGAGGCAGCAGUGGGAAUAUUGGACAAUGGGGGCAACCCUGAUCCAGCCAUGCCGCGUGAGUGAAGAGGCCUUCGGGUUGUAAAGCUCUUUCGCACGCGACGAUAAUGACGGUAGCGUGAUAAGAACGCCCGGCUAACUUCGCGCCAGCAGGCCGC